UUUAGGCAUCUCGAGAUGACCAUUUUUUCUUGGAUUGUUGAGGUGCGCAUUAUGCUACAUCCUUGUUUUAAUAGUUGUGCUUGAUUAGGUAUCUAAAUAAGACUCACCCUAAUAAGCUUAUGAUUGUUUAAGACAUGAAUGUUAGCAUGAGAAUCAACAAGAUAGGAUGCUCUCUCCCAAAUAACAAGAGUAGGAAGAUUCCAUCUUUGAAUCUUGUGCUUGACAGUGAUCAUUUCUGCCGCCCAAUCGCUUCUCGUGAAUUUUCAUAACCCGGCUGUGCAAAAAUGUGAAUCUUUUAUUUGUGUUAUCACUGCUAGUUUGGAAUUGACUUAUCCAUCCAAAAUAGUACGAAAAUGAAAGCAUUAUAACACUCAAAACAUAAUGCAGAAACAUAUUGGAAAAACUGGUGCUCGUUAGAGUGAGAUUUUUCGCACCGAGAGUGAAUAAUAAUGGGGAGAUGAGCUCGUGAGAAAGACGGGACAAAUAAGUUAAAUCAGCGUAAUAGAAAUACAUCUCACAUUACCAAAAUGCAUAUAACUAUAUUAAAUUAAGGCAGAAUGCAUAAAAUAGCACCAGAAUUUGUACCCAAAUCUCUAUUACACACUUGUUUAUGACGAACAGCCUUUUACACACCUAAUCUUUUAAAAGUGUGUCGGUUACACAUUAUUUUGAUUACAUGGGCAAGAGCAUGUUUGACACACAAAUUAGGCGAGUGAAUAGGAAAAGAAAUCUGUGAACUCUCGUGUGUUACUGACACAUGUCCAUUAUUUUAUUUUUUAAUUAAAAACAUUAUCUUCUUCGUCAAGAGCUUAAACUAACAACCAGCUCUUGCAACAAUGGAGAAAUUAUUCGCUUUUCUUUUUCUCCAAAAUAUCAUCAUAGAAAAAUAUCCUCCCUCUCCCGUAGAAAACAAACAACCAGUUUGUUGCUGCCCUUCCCCCUUUUCCCAUUUUCAUCUUCUUCCCCACCCAUUUUCCCCAUCUUCCAUGUCCACCGUUUUAAGAAUAGCAAUAAUAUAAAAUUAUUUUGGAAGAAAUUAGUAAAGAAAGUUAAAAGAAAUCUAUAUCAAGAGAAUUUUAUAAAUCUGGGUUUGAAUUUAUACCACGAAUCGAGCAACCAUGAAUUUGGCCAUAACCAACUUUAAUGGAGUUUUGAGUUUUGCAUUAUAUAUUUUGUGUCAGAUUUGAAUCUAGACUCACUAACUCGUGAUUAAUGUACUUGAGUUCCUAAUUUUACUUUAUAAUAUGAAGGUAAUUAAAUGUGAAUUUUUGGUGGUGUCUGGCGUCAAUCUCCCAUGGAGAAGAGAAAAAUAUGAAAUUGAGAAGAUGGUUAAGGGGUAUAGGUGUAAUUUUAAGUGUUUUAUUUUUUAAAUAAAAAAUAGUGACACGUGUCAUUAUCUUAUUGGAGCGUGAAAUUACACAUAUUUUGAAAAAUUGGUCAAGAAAAAAAUAAUGUGUACUUGACACACUUUUAAAAGGUUGGAUGUAUAAAAGGUUGCCCAUAAUCAACAAAUAUGUAACGAAAAUUUAGAUAUCAAUUUAGGUGCUAUUUUAUGUAUUCUGCCUUAAAUUAAUGAUACUUUACCUAUGAUGAGUGAUGACUAACAAAUUUACCUCCCAGACGUAAGAUGAUUAAAAUUAUUUCUCCACCUAAUAAUUAUCAAGCAUGAGUUACGCAAGGGAAGUGCGACAACAAACAAAAAAGAUAUUUCCAGAAUGUGCAUACGCGUCAAUCAAGAAGUAUUUUUUGGACGUCUCUAUUAAUCCACCUAUCCUCUCCUAAUAAACUUAUGGGAAUUCCACCAAAGUGAGAGCCUAUUACACCAUUUUUCAUUAUUUCUAUUAAUUAAUUUGUUCCUCUUUUUCUCUCUUUGCUUUUUUAAUAGGAGAAAUUAAGAGUUUACCCGUUAAUGACAAUGGCGAAGAAGAUGGUGAAUAUGAAACCUUGGAUUGAGGUUGCCCCAUCACUUUUUGUUUUCCCACAAAGACAUUCUCAUUCUCCUAAACUGGAGACUAUUAAGGAAGAUGAUCGAGCAGAAGGACAGGAUGUAGAUGAAUGUUCAUCCUUUUGGUUUUCUUGAUUAAGCGCUCUACAAUUGCUACAGUUCUCUAUGUAUUUUAGCAAAUAAUGUUUAUGUUUGAGAACACUGCGUAACGUUUGAAAGAAGAGAGAUUCAAAUGGAAGUCUG
This 2188-nucleotide long non-coding RNA is filed under the name Nicotiana benthamiana. RNAcentral's name for it is "long non-coding RNA (NBEN_LNC027335)". Lineage: Eukaryota; Viridiplantae; Streptophyta; Magnoliopsida; Solanales; Solanaceae. The record is from RNAcentral.